UGAACGUGGUAACACCUGGGUAUGCUGCAAACUCCUGACUGCGUGGUGGGAAGGCCAACUUUGGAGAGCUGAGCCUGCA
Molecule: small nucleolar RNA, 79 nt
Organism: Nannospalax galili (Upper Galilee mountains blind mole rat)
Lineage: Eukaryota; Metazoa; Chordata; Mammalia; Rodentia; Spalacidae
Source: Ensembl